RNAcentral lists this ribosomal RNA (460 nucleotides) under uncultured bacterium. RNAcentral describes it as "partial 16S ribosomal RNA". It matches the Rfam family "Bacterial small subunit ribosomal RNA", at positions 338 to 795 of the family's 1533-position model. The record is from RNAcentral.
CCUACGGGUGGCAGCAGUGAGGAAUAUUGGUCAAUGGACGAGAGUCUGAACCAGCCAAGUAGCGUGAAGGAUGACUGCCCUAUGGGUUGUAAACUUCUUUUAUAUGGGAAUAAAAUGUUCCACGUGUGGGAUUUUGUAUGUACCAUAUGAAUAAGGAUCGGCUAACUCCGGGCCAGCAGCCGCGGUAAUACGGAGGAUCCGAGCGUUAUCCGGAUUUAUUGGGUUUAAAGGGAGCGUAGGUGGAUUGUUAAGGUAGGUGUGAAAGUUUGCGGCUCAACCGUAAAAUUGCAGUUGAAACUGGCAGUCUUGAGUACAGUAGAGGUGGGCGGAAGUCGUGGUGUAGCGGUGAAAUGCUUAGAUAUCACGAAGAACUCCGAUUGCGAAGGCAGUUCACUGGACUGCAACUGACACUGAGGCUCGAAAGUGUGGGUAUCAAACAGGAUUAGAUACCCUUGUAGUC